GACGCUUUGGCUCAGAGGGUAAAGCGUCUGCCUGCAAUGCAGGAGACCUGGGUUUUAUCCCUGGGUCA
This is a transfer RNA of Ovis aries (sheep), 68 nucleotides long. It matches the Rfam family "tRNA". Rfam says of the family: Transfer RNA (tRNA) molecules are approximately 80 nucleotides in length. Their secondary structure includes four short double-helical elements and three loops (D, anti-codon, and T loops). Lineage: Eukaryota; Metazoa; Chordata; Mammalia; Artiodactyla; Bovidae. The record is from Rfam.